Molecule: ribosomal RNA, 508 nt
Filed under: uncultured bacterium
Lineage: Bacteria
Description: partial 16S ribosomal RNA
Rfam family: Bacterial small subunit ribosomal RNA
Source: RNAcentral
GACGAACGCUGACGGCGUGCUUUAGACAUGCAAGUCGAACGAGAGAGCCCUUCGGGGUUAGUAAAGUGGCGAACGGGUGAGUAACGCGUGGGCAAUCUGACCUUCGUUGGGGGCCAACCGGGGGAAACCCAGGCAACUACUCCGUAAGCUUGUCGGGUCGCAUGGCCUGACCAGGCGAGGUAGCUGAGGCCAACCGGCGCAGGAGGAGGCCGCGGUACAUUAGCUAGUUGGUGAAGUAAAGGCCCACCAAGGCUACGAUGUAUAGCUGGUCUGAGAGGAUGAUCAGCCACACUGGGACUGAGACACGGCCCAAACGCCGACGGGAGGCAGCAGUCGGGAAUCUUGCACAAUGGGCGAAAGCCUGAUGCAGCAACGCCGUGUGAGCGACGAAGGCCCUAGGGUCGUAAAGCUCUGUUGUUAGGGACGAAGGGCGAAGGGUUAAUAGCCCUUAGCCUGACGGUACCUUUCGAGGAAGCCCCGGCUAACUACGUGCCAGCCGCCGCAGUAA